This 249-nucleotide long non-coding RNA is filed under the name Setaria viridis. RNAcentral's name for it is "long non-coding RNA (SVIR_LNC008111)". Lineage: Eukaryota; Viridiplantae; Streptophyta; Magnoliopsida; Poales; Poaceae. The record is from RNAcentral.
CCCUUGGAUGGAGAAACUUCUUCUCAGGAAGGAGGCCGCAACGUCAGAAACCAGAACCACGCGGCACGGCGCCAACAGGAGCAAGCCAACGCCCAGCAGCAACCUGCUGCUAACGCGAAGGCAGCAAGCGACCAACACCAGCCACUGUGCGACGACGACGGCAAUACCGACCAAGAUGGUGCCCGGGCCAGACGCAGGUGUUCUGCGCGCACCCGCAAUCUACUAGCCGACCUCAAGGAGACUGACCAC